GUCCACGCCCUAAACGAUGUCGACUGGUUGUUGGGGGUUUGACACUCUCAGUAACGAAGCUAACGCGUGAAGUCGACCGCCUGGGGAGUACGGCCGCAAGGUUAAAACUCAAAGGAAUUGACGGGGACCCGCACAAGCGGUGGAUUAUGUGGAUUAAUUCGAUGCAACGCGAAAAACCUUACCUACCCUUGACAUGUCCUGGAGGCUCCAGAGAUGGGGCUGUGCCCGAAAGGGAACGGGAACACAGGUGCUGCAUGGCUGUCGU
RNAcentral lists this ribosomal RNA (265 nucleotides) under uncultured bacterium. RNAcentral describes it as "partial 16S ribosomal RNA". It matches the Rfam family "Bacterial small subunit ribosomal RNA", at positions 793 to 1055 of the family's 1533-position model. The record is from RNAcentral.